Molecule: long non-coding RNA, 2995 nt
Organism: Dromaius novaehollandiae (emu)
Lineage: Eukaryota; Metazoa; Chordata; Aves; Casuariiformes; Dromaiidae
Exons: 4
Source: RefSeq, a predicted model, not a curated record
CUUGGGAGCUGCUUUUUAACUGAAGCUUUUCCACUGGCCCCUGCCUGUGCUAUAUCACAGCUAGAUCGAAGCUAUGUCCACUCCUGGUCUCAGACCUCCUCACCCUCUGGGCCCUGACGCUCAGCACAUACACACAUUCUGGACUUCAGAAAAGGCUCCAUUCCUUCCUGUUCCUUGCUGUGAACUAUUUAGUGGCUGUUUUGGGAGCAUUUCAGGAAACAGCCGCCUUGGCAGAUCACGCACCAGGCUGACAAAGAUGCUGCAGCAAUCCAGAAGAUAAAAUAGCUUCAUUGGCCUUGAGUGGCUUUUCUUGUCCUUCUGCAGGCUCACACUGCAGAAAAUGCAAUGACCAUACUGUGAGCGGUGUCAUUUCAGUCAGUUGAGAGCCAAUACGUGAGUGAUCGCACGUGUUGCAGAGAUGUAUGUAUCACAGAAUUAAAAUGGUGCAGCUCUGCAACUGUAAAAGACAAGGAAACUUCAAACAGAUGUGAGUAAAGACAUGUCACGAGAAAAGGUGACUGCCUUUCCUGGAUCUCCUGGAUUUCCUACACUAAGCAUAGUAAAUUGUCUUGGAAAAAAAAAUCUACUUUUACUAUCUGUAAGCUAUAAUUAGUGUGUGAAUGAGGAUAAUUCAGGAAUUGUACAUAUUUUGAUGGAAACUGUUUCCAAAGAAUUAUUAUUUUCAGCAGGAAAAUGUGGCAUUUAGCCAACCCUUUUUUUUUCUCAGUUUAAAGUCACACAAGAGAAGUCACACAUAGAGAGGAGCUAGGCAGAUGGCUAUUUCAUGUGGAAAAUUGUUUUCAACUUCAGUGUCAAAAUAAAGAAUGUUUAGCUGUUUCCAAAUCAAAAUAUUUUGUAGCAUUUUAUUCCACUAGUGAUAUUUAGACUUCUUAUACUGACUGAACACCAAAAUGAAAUAUAAGCAUUACAGAAUUUCAUGUAGGCUGUAAAUUCUGUUUUAUGACUAGGUCUAAGCAUAACUGAAGUAAACAAACUAAAGUGUGGGGUUUUUUUCUUUUUCUUUUGAAAAUAUGUUGGUUUUGCAUAGAGUGUAAAUCAAUAUAUGAUGUGAAUCAAUACUUGCAAUAAUUAUUGUGAGGAAUAACAGAGGACCACAAAAAUAAAGACAGACAUGUUUAUGGCAUCUUAAUUUUCCUUUUAAGAAAACAGGAAAAAUGAAGCCUUCACAGAUGAAGGCCAGUUUUGCAUUGUAUUUCCUCCCAGAUAUUUUUUUAGCAUUUUUUAAAGUUCACAAAUCAAGGCAAGGGCAUCUUCUCUUGUUCUCAGUAGGCAAAGUAUAUAGUUUUACUGCAAGGGGAAAAGGGCAGCAAAGUUGAUCUGCAAAUAUCUUCCUUGAGCCUUAGUAAUUUUAGACAGGUGCCCUUUGCUUAGUGAUACUUUUUUCUUGAAAGAAUGCAUCUUGGCACAAAGGGGAAAAAAAGUAAUUGUAGACAUCUGGCCUUUAGAAAGCCAAUGGCUUACAAAUUAAUUUUACUGGAGGCUGUAGCAAUUACAAGACUUGAUAUUGCCAUCUGGAUAUUCAACUGAACCUCACUGCAGAUACCAUUCCUCUGUCCAUGUUUCUGUUGCAAUUUAUUGAGGAAAUAUAGUGCAUUCUGACAUGUCCUAAAAUAUUGUGUCACUGUUAAAGAUAAUCAAGUUCCCGGUCCCUGUGCUGAUACUGAAAACCUCUCAGAGGCUGGCACUCAUUAUGUGAAAGACCACUUCUCACUCCGCAAGUGCUGUUUCUCUCUUUUGACAGUCGUCUCCACUGAGACCCAGGCUGCUGCUGCUGGGAAUGAGUUCCCAUGCUGGGGUGGGCAGAGUGCUCUCCAAGGAGCUCAAAACAUCUUUAAUUAAACCUUUAAUUAAACCUUUUUUAUAGACUAGGCAGAGAACCAUUGAUGUCCAAGAUGACAACACCUGUCUUGGAAACAAAAUCUUUUUGGAGGAAGGUACUAGUUCCAGUGAAAGGUCUAUCUAAGCAGGUCAAACUUCCGGCCAAAGAAAGAGAGGGAAAAGGAAAAUAGUUUGAGAGUAAGUCAGUAAUCCAGAAAAUGCAGGUUCAGAACUGUCCUCUGCCCGAUAACCACAGGGGCACCGAGCUCCCCUAUCUGGAGCGUCCUACUCCCCAGGGCACGGGCAGAAUUUCUGUCACCACUUUUCACACACAAAACAGCAAGGUGUGGAGGGCCUUUUUCAGAAUGAAACAGGAAUGUUUUCAAAACCGUGAACUGUUCUGUAUGAUGAAAAGAAACAUUUAGAGCUCAACUCCAGUGCUAGCACAAACAAAAUAACAUACAGUGCAGUACAAUACAAUUCAAGAACUCUUUUUCUUGGAAAGAGGAAUCCAGAGAGCACUAGAUGCAAUGAAAAAGACCACAGUGCCAACAGCAAACUUAGAGUCUACUUUAUACUACCAGUAUAACACAAAGUCUCCCCAACUCUGAAGGCUCCUGAAUUUGUAACCUUACUCCUGGCUCCGGGACACAGCAACAGCUCUGUGCCCCACUCCAGAAACUCCUUUACUGUCCUCGGCAGGAGGUGGGACUGCAGAGGUCAUCAAGGCAUUGGCAGUGUGGACCUGUAACCAGGACAUUGACACCUUUUGGGACAACUGCAUCAUGCUCACCCAGCCAGCAUCAUUCAAAGGUGGGCUGGGUUGGAGGAGACUCAAAGUCUGUCAUGGUUCCCUGGGAACUACAUCCACAUCAGUGCUGAAAUUGCCUGCAUCAAGCAUUGUAAACCCAAAGCCAAUGGCAUGUUAUGCAAGAGGUAUUAACAUGUCAGGAUUCCUUCUUAUUAUUUAAAAUCCCUUGGCAAUAUUUUUCCUGGUUGUCUAGCCCUUAACUUACAGAGCUUGCUUGAUGGCUUUCUGUGUCUCUUAAAUAUUUGGGUUCUUGUUACUUCUGUUCUGCUUUGGCUUCUUAAACUGUCUGCUCUUGAAGUGCUUUUAUUUCUAGUAAAUAAACCUGGAAUUUAAAUAAUGAUUAAA